CUUCAAUUGUGUUGUCGUGUGGUUAUCGACGUGAUAACAACAGUGGAUUUAAAAAUUGUUAAUAACCAUGGUUUUGGUUGUAACUCAGAUAACGCAUUUAAUGAUGCGGAACAGACCGCCAUUUUUACGUUCAAAUUCCAUGGACGUACUAGUAAUACCAAAUAAUAUAAUAUUAUGUAUAUUUAGUAUUAUUAUAAUCCAUGACGAAUUUUAUUCUUUGUUUCAUCGUUCCAAUCGUUCCCGAAAAAAUGACCACUCAAUAAACACCAUCAUCUUCGUUUUUAAUUUUUCCAAUCAAUUAACUAUGUGUUCGUGUCGAUAUACUUCGAAUUGCUGCAAAUUAAUAUACUCCGAUCCUGGAUUCAUCCUUGAAAAAUAUCGUACAAAUAUAAAAUAAUAAACGCGCGUGAAUGUUCAUCAGAAUAAAUUAAAUUACAAUUGUGUUUUACAUUAUAGUUAAAUAAUAUAAUUGACAUAACUAACGUAUUUUUCUUUACCACUCGACCCAUAUAAUAAAUAUAGUGGUGCCAAUAGAAAAUGUUGAUUCGUGUUUUCAAAGUGAAGUAUUUAUAAUUUAUUUAUUUAUACGCUGUUAAUGGCUUGCAAGAUACAAACACCGAAACAGAUCACUUAUGGUUUCUAAUUCAAAAAUAUUUGAGAAUAACGACAUUGGAGGAAUCCUGCAGGUAUACGUUUAUGCAGGUCGAAAGCUAGUGCGAUGAAAGCCGAAGUGCAUAUUGUAAUACAUAGUUGUUCCGAACGUACAAGUCUCCGGUAAAACUCAAGUUGAAUGAUACGUCCCACCAAGUAUAUUUUAAUCGGAAAGUUGAGGUCGAAUAGCGUCAAUAAAUUAAUCAAACAUUCAAAUUCUAACGAAAUCCUAUAGGGGUGUGAAAUUCAUGCACGCGGUUCUGUACAAUACAAUCGAUAACGUACAACAGAAUAAAUGAGAUGUAUUAAUUUAAUUUGGUCGCGUGUACCUGCACAUGUGUACUGUGUACACACACUUUCAAUCGUCAAUUCAGUUUCGUUUAGAUAUUAUUAAAAGGAGAAAUUUGUAGAAAAUAUCGAUUCAUGUCAAUUUAAUUAAUGGCUGCGGCGUCAAGACAAUAAUGCGCGGCGGAUAUAGUUGCGUGCUUCGGUUAAUGGAAUCGUGAACGUUCAGCGUGUACUAUGUACGCUGUACAACAACAAAAACAACAACAAUAACAAUAACAACGACUUCGACUACGACUACGAAGACUGUACGGUUGGGAGCAGAUGUGUCGUGUACGCGUACAUAAUAUUAUACCAGGUCAUCAGCCUCCUAAAAGACUGAAUCACGAAAUAAGAAUAGAACGCAACUGUUGUAGUCAAGAAAACAUAAAGCAUAUUAUACGCAAUACACUGAUCAAUAACAAAUACUAUAAAUCUAUAAACAUUCUUUUGCAUUUUCUGGACGUGCAAAUGUGUAAUUGUACCAAAGAGUAUGUGAAAAAAAUAUGCAAAUGUCAGUAUUUCCGGUAUAUUAGUAGCUAAUGGACCUUAUGAAUUAAAUUGUUGGUUGUGUAAUGUCGUUUAUCGGAUUAGGAAAACUCACUUUUUAUAAUGAACAAGCGAAUCCAAGAAUUAUGUCUACUUAGCGGCAGUGCGACGAGACCUUUAUGAACUUUUGAGAACCAAAACAAAAAAGCCAAAAAGGUUACACAAACAUGUUUCACUUUAAAACAAUAUAUUUUAAGCUUUUCCCAGAAUCUUGAAGGUUUAACACAGUUUUUCAUCAUGCCGGACCACGGAUCAGAACAUUCAGAACUGCAGUCAGAACUCCGGACGAACACCAAUCAAAUACUUCGAUUAUGUUUGUUCACAUAUGAGUCACUUUACAUUUGACUGUCGAAUCGUCUGGACGACUGGAUUUAAAACAACCACAAGCAGGAAUGUCUCUAUUGUAUGAACAGCCUACAACUGUCCACCGGAAAAUGUUCUGAUAUCCCGCUGGCAUAGUUGAGUACUUGGUACCAGAAAAUCGGUGUUAAAGUCGGUGUUAACUUAUUGCUGUUUAAUGUUUAUUAUGGUGAUAGAAAACGGGUUGGAUCUCCCGGACGCAUUUCUCCGAAUACGCUCGGCUGCCUGCAGGGCUGAACAUCAAACAUACAUCGCCGUCGUCUGCGCAGAACAAACAAACUUGCGCAGACUACGACAGACUGCCGUCUUAUACCGUCUCGUAUUCAGUGGUGUAAUUACGGGGGGAAUGGGAUUUGGGCAUCCCCUGUGAUUUUUUUGAUUUUUUUUUAAUAAAGACUGACACACUUCAUUUA
Long non-coding RNA from Aphis gossypii (cotton aphid), 2297 nucleotides. RefSeq lists it as uncharacterized. The record is from RefSeq and is a predicted model, not a curated record. The transcript is spliced from 10 exons. NCBI's taxonomy places the organism in Eukaryota, Metazoa, Arthropoda, Insecta, Hemiptera, Aphididae.